Molecule: non-coding RNA, 3518 nt
Organism: Cherax quadricarinatus
Lineage: Eukaryota; Metazoa; Arthropoda; Malacostraca; Decapoda; Parastacidae
Source: RefSeq, a predicted model, not a curated record
UAUAAAUUUUCGAAACAAUUGUACUCUCCUGGCAAAAUUUUUGGAAAGAAUAGAAUUUCCGCACGAGGAUUGCUUCUCCGUGACUUAGAUUUACAGGAAUUCCGCUACCAAUAUUCAGAUUUAGGACAGACGACGUCCCUUUUGUGUGUUUCUGCAUUUUACUGUUGACAGGGGGACAAUAUUGGCCAUUUCUGUGAGUGCCUCUUCUGUAGGGUCCCCACACGGGCAAUAUUUCAUCUCGUGGUACUCUUUCUUUUAUUGCCAAAAAAGUAUUUCAUUCCAUGUUCCUGUUUGUACUCAAAAAGCUAUGUUACAUACACAAAAAACCUCUGCUGAUAUCACUCUUCAGAUAGCCCUACGAACUGCAACAUCCUCACUUCUCCUUCAGAGUGGUGGCUUUGUACUUUCACCUUCAGGACUCGAGUCCAGAUGACUGGUUUUCCCUGAAUCCCGUCAUAAAUGUUACUUGAAUGGAAGUUUUUGAAAUUUUGAGAGGAGCUUUUGUGUGAUAUGAUGGUGGGUAAAGUGACUGUUUUCUGAAUAAAGGAACGACACAGCGCCGAGAUUAGCUUUUAUUAGGGCAACGUUUCGCUUUGUGUACAACUACACCUGAGUAGAGGUGUCCCUGUGUGCGUUCUUGUAAGUGUACGGACAAAAGUUAAAGAGAUAUCUCUCCCCUCCAGUCUCUCAUCUUUCCUUAAUGUACCAGACAAUACACACCUUUCUCUCUCAUUCCCUUCUUCACUUUUCACAUCUCCCCCCCGUCUCUCUAUCUUUCCUCUUCCUUUCCCCACCUCCUGUUUUCAUCAUUCUUUUUCCUUCUCUCCCAUUUCCCUCUGUCUCACCUCUUUCUCUGCCAUUUGCGUUCUCUCCGUUCCCUUCUCCUUCCAUCUCGCUCUUCCUCUUACCAUCUUUCUCUUCCUCUAUCUCCCCUCUUCCACCCAGUGUGCUUUUUUAGCACCGUUGAAUUCACCCACCUCUUGCGUAUACAUAAUAGAACUGUGCUGAAAACGUAAUGUGUUUGUGUGUAUACCCAGCGAGUUGUGCUGGCGGGGGUCGAGACUCAGAUCCUAGCCCCCGCCUUCUGGACCACCUUGACCUGCAUCACUGGCUUCUGGUAUCUUGGGUCUUAUCAUAUCAACUCUUAAAGCCGAGCACUGAGUUUGUCUCCACCACUGCCUCAUCCAAGUCAUCCCACUUUUCAUCCACCCUGAGUCUAAAGAAAUUUUUUCUUACAUCCCUAUUGCUCAUCUAUGUCUUCAGCUUCCACCUGUGUCCCCUUGAUCCAGGUACUCCCAUUUCAUUUAGUCUAUCCCUAUCUGCUCUAUCAAUUCCUCUUAGGAUUUUCUAUGCUGUAGUCAUGCCUCCCCUCCACAGCUCAUACUCACAGCCAAACCACCAUUAAUCUUCGCUAGUUUUUGCAAUUGACCCACCUGAAAAAACUCAUUCCUUCAGCAGUAUCACAUCACUCGUGGACAGCAGGCUGAGACUGGAUCUAGGCACAUUAGAACAGCAUGUCAACAGAAAGCACCACUUGACUGACCAGACUAACAGAACUGCAUUUGUAUUGGCCUGAGUAAGUAGUGUUAAUUAAGCUGUUUCACGCAGGAAGAGGGUACCCAGGGCUCCAGCUACAGCAGAGAUCCUUAAUGAGAGACAGAACAGACCAGACAGAAGGGCAGAGCAGUGAGAACGAAGAGAAUUGGCGGAAGACCUCGUGUGUCUAAACAGAAGUUGUUCUGACCAGAGUCGUGUAGUUUAGUCCUUCUCAGCAGAGCUUCGGUACAAAUUGUCAUAGACUUAUUAUCUGUCUUUCCCACGUAAUCACUGAAAGGGAAAAAUGCUUAAUAUUUAUUCAAAUGUAGAGAACUUUACUAGGGCAAUAAUAAUUUAAUUGUAAAGCACUUUUAUAAGACUGAAUAAUUGAGGAAAAAAACUCUAACUCUGACCUAAAAAUUCUGAAAAGUGGCGAAGGUCAGAACAUAUCUUGGAUGUUGUUUAUAUAUGAAUGACUUCCUACACAUUUUAUAGUCAUGUGAAAUAUAAAGUGAGGCCGCCAGGCAUGCAUAAAAUGAACUUACACAAUAAUGCAUGCAUCUGAUAGAUAAAUGUCAGAGGAAAAAAUAUCCAAAAUUAUUCAUAGAUUCUACGAAUUAACUCUCUCUAUGAUGUAAGAGUAGCUGAAGCUUUCGCGGUGGUCCCUGCCGCGAGUGACUGAGAAUCAGGAUGUAGGGAAUGCGUAGGAUGUUCAGCAAAGAAAUCUCCUUGCCCCAUUUCUCUUUUUCAUAGCGGUUAGGGAAAUCACCAGCAGACUGACUAGUGAACUGAACAUCUAGUCCCUGGAUGAGGGCAAACUGGCAUGCACUAAGGAGUCCCUUCCAGCAGAUGUUGAUCCAGUGAUGACGCAGUGUCAAGACAUGGAACUCGUCCUGAAUCUUUCUGUUGCGACCCCUGAAUGGGUCACAAUGUAUAUAAUGUAUAUUACCUUUUCAUAUAAUUUUAUAUUGCUUAUAUUUGCGAUAAUAGCUAAAUCGUAAAUAUAUUGUUUAUAUUAUUAUUUGACUUAGUUACUUUUGUUAGGUAGGAUGUAACAUUUAUAUAUAUUAUUCAGUGCUCUUAGUUCAAGUCUUGAUUGUCUAACUACUGUAAUUAUUGCUCGUUGCUCGUUUCCCUGCCGGCUUCUCGGUGUUGCUGGGCAGCAGCUGUCCACGGAGCAAUCACGUGAUCAAGGGGGGUGUUCGCACCUCGCCUGGAGUAGUCAGUCCGGGCUAGACUCUCUUGGUGGUUGGACGUAUUCCUGACAAAACGUGCCUAACUCUCCUUUAUUGGCCCUUGUUGGAAGAUCGUCUCUGUCGCUUUCUUGUUGUUGGUUCUGUAGAACUCUGUUCACAGAACAUUGUCUAGACUUAGUGAUUUUCGACGUUGUACUGAGGUUGUGUGUCACAUAGACACUGAGCAACUCAGGUCCUGAGCUGUAGCUUCUGACCUAAUUUGUACUGGUAUCUGUGUACUGUCAAAGUCGGGGAUUUUCUUAUGCUGAACUUAGAUUCAGUAGUAUGGGAGUUUUGUGACUUUUGUGGAGGAUCUGCUUAUGGUCCCUACUUAGUGUCGUUAUAUUAUCUCCUUGGUCCUGAUUCUGUGUCGCAUCUGCUUGUUAUAUUGCUAUUGGGCUUAGCAGUCGUUUUAUUGUUCAAGCAAGCUAUUCUGAUUGCCAGGUGGUCAAAAAGUUAGUUAAUGUGAGAACUUAGUCAGUCACUAGUUAAGUCUAGUUGAUUUUUGAGACAUAGCAAACUACUUAGAGCACUUACACAAACUUACUUGUACAUAUUUGUAAGUCUUAUUAAAUGUUAAUGUACCAGACGGUACUUAAGACGUAUAAAUGUGAUAUGUGCCUUCAGCACAAUACUUCUGUACAUGAGAGAAGUGAUUAUUAUUAGUAUUAUUUUGAUUUUGGUUAAUUUAAUUUACUUUGUUCUUAUACCUCUAGACUUUGUUAUUAAUAAAUUUAUUAAAUUUUA